This is a non-coding RNA of Gymnothorax javanicus (giant moray), 72 nucleotides long. NCBI's taxonomy places the organism in Eukaryota, Metazoa, Chordata, Actinopteri, Anguilliformes, Muraenidae. The record is from the annotation of a GenBank genome assembly.
AUGUAAGUUGCCUAGUGGUAUGAUCCUUGCCUAAUGAUCAACUAGUUGCUGGUUCAAGUCCUGCUGCAGAUG